GUGAUCGUAACUAAAACCUGUUUUUGUUCUCACAGUCCUAUCUCACGAGUCACGACUCACCUCCGUGACUCUUCCUCCGUUCCUUUCUCCUGUGCCUCCUCCGUUCCCAUUUUCGAUUUGUUACGGACGGAGGCGGAGGGCUUCUGCUGGGCUCGCCGACGGCGCGCACCUGAGAGGCAACCCCACUCACUACUGCUCACCAUUGGCGCAGGGGCCGUGGGGUUGCUCGUCGCCUCGCUGGGGGGACGGAGGCGAAAGGGGCAGCUCGUGGUCAACGCUUCACCGGUGACGUCGAGGAAGGUAGAUCUCCUUAUGCCUCUUUAAAUGUUGUCGUUGUCCUGUUUCCCCGAUGCCCUGUUGGAUGGAGGCCCGUGUGGGCAGGUAGCAGCCAGCCAAGCAAGUCUGUGUGGGCACUAGGGUUUCAGCCUAGUUUUGUGCAAUCCACAAUAGUGUCGAUUUGUGGUUUGAUUUGUUGAUUUAUGGUUCGAUUCGUCGAUGCGUGUUUUGAUUUUUGGUUUGAUUCGAGGUAUGUGGCUGAUGCCCUCCUUAUUCCUGUGAUUGCCCCUUGUUUCCUUGGGUUAGAUCUGCUCGAGAGGUCAAUUCCUUUGGCAUGACGAGCUUUGGUGAUUCCUCUCGAUAGCAACUUGUUGUCUGGGUGGAUUGAUACGCAGAACUUCAGGGCAUGUUGAUGCGGGGCUGCUGGUGAAAAUGUGAUUAGGUUAGGUAUUCAGCAUUGCUUUUGCACUAGGCAUACUACUCUACCUGUCCUUGUCUCCAAUUUCGUUAGGUGCAUAGUAGUAGUGGUGCGUGCCUUUAAUUGUUUUGAUCAGUAGAAUACAUGAGCCUCUAAUUGUCGUGUCAGAGAAGUAAUUUAGUCUUCAUAGUGGUAGUGUUUAAUGUUAGCUAAGCAUUAAUCCUUGUUUGCUUGCAAUAUAGUCUCAUUUUUUUGUUCAUACGGUCAGCACUUAUCACAAGCUAAAAGGCAACUAGAAGGGUGCCAUGGUGGGUUCUAAUCAUUGUGCAUUGCAGAUAGAAAUUUCUGCUAAGAUGUGAUUUUUUUUAAAAACAUAUGAGAUUACUUAAUCUGAGUUAUGUUACUCCCUUCUCUGUUCUAGGUUUUAAGUACUUGGAGUUAUCUAAUUUUACUUCAAUGUCAAAUAAAUGCAGAAUCUCCAUUAUUAUUGUAUGGCUAUAUAUUUGGUGUGCCUACAUGUCUUGUCUCCUUGUUGAUCUAUUUUGAGCUUCUAAGUGAGUUCAUUCUGAACAUAUGAUGGAUAUCUUCAUUCAUUUUGUGUGCUAUAGGAUGAGUAGAUAUAGUAUGCUGUUUUUUGUCCCCUGCACUAGAGCCUGCAGCUAUUUUGCUUAUUGCAUUAUUGUUGGUAAUGUUAUGCAAAUUGUAACUUGUAUCACAAUAGAUUCCAUUUUAAUUGGAUACUUUUGGUAAGUAUUAGUGUGAAUUUUCUAGUCGGCAUCUGCUACUAUUUUUAGUUGUCUUUUAUUUUCAGAUGUGCAUCAGGCAUAUAUGUUCCUCAUUCUUUUCUACAAUGUGACAGGUAGGUUACUCCUUAUUUUUUUUAGCAUAUGUAUGCCGAGCAUUUAAGUUUGUUUCAUUUUUGUUGAGAACCUGUCCAUUAGCUUUUGUUUUGGCUGUAUUUUGGAGAACAUGAUCAUUUUUUAUAGCUGAAUUCUGUUGUCCUUCUUAUAUUAGCUAAAAUUUCAGAAUUAUUAUACUAGAAUUACACCCUCAAUUAGUAUUGUAAUUUUCUAGUUUGUCACUGUUAAUCGUGAAAUAUGAAAAUGUGCAUUACUUCACUAGGAUUUCUAUGCCAAAUUUUACCAAGUCUUUUUAUUUCUUCCUACUAUUUUUUUCUUGAAUUGCAUGAGUAUAGUUGAGGAGUUGAGGGAGGGAGAACUCAGGUGAAGAACUUUUCCUUUGUUUAUAGUGGCUAUAAAAUGAUAAGUAACUGGAUUCCCUGAUAUAAGAGCUUUCUUUAUAUUCUCUAAUUUAAUAAAAAAAACUGAUAGCUUAUGUUCUUGUUGCUUGUACUUGUCAUGCUUUGUUCAAGCUAAAGAACUACCAGAUUCAAUCUCUUUUUUUUCCUGAUUUGUUUGUUUGUCAUUGUUGUUCUGAUUUAAAAAUGAUUGUUCUCUGUUUUGAUUUGGUCAAUAUCAAUUUGGUGUAUAUAAAGUCAUAAGCAUUUAGAUUUGCAGCCACCACCGCCUCAAUCAUUCCCUUUUCACAGCCACCACCGCCUCAAUCAUUCCCUUUUCACCUGUGGUUCCAGUUAUUCUCGAGAUAGUUUAGAAAAAAAUGCUUAUGAGUAUCAGUUAAUUUUGUAGUAGUCUUGGGUAAACUGUAAGCUACCAAUUCGUAACUAGGAUUGUUUGCUACUUGUGGUAAAAAAACAUUGCUUUAUGUAUCGUCUUAACAUACUUUUGGGUUCUGAAUUUUCGUAUUUCCGUUGUGGUUACCAUAUAAGCAUUGAGAGGCUAGUUGAUUCAACGAGUUCUGAUGGUCUCUAGUGUUAUCUGUGGCUGCUGAUGGGUUACUUUUGAUUUUAAUUAAUUAGCACUUCUGAUCAGUGACUAUAAAUUAUAAGUAACUUAUGCUAGAAUUACACUGUGAUUUAGUAAUGUAAUUUUCUAUUAUGGUAUUGUACAAUAUAUCUUCCUCUUUCCCAGUCAAAUGAACAACCAUGGGAGUUUAGUGUUUACAAGUCUUGUGGCAUCUUUACUGAAGCUAAGUGAUGCUAGAUUGGCCUUUGCUGCUUUGGUGCCUUGCUUGGAUAAACUGUCCUCUUCAACCUGAUCUGUAUGCUAGCUCUUUAUUUAGUUCUGAGUCAUAAGUACAUUUAUAACUUUAACAUAUCAAUAUUAAGUUAAAUGAUAAUAGCUAUAGCUACUUGCCAAGAUUAUGAUAUGGUACUAUGACAAUCCUAGCAUGUCUCUUUUCGGGAUAUUGUAAAUUGCUACUUUUGCCAAGAUUUAACUAUGUUUGUCUGCGCUCUUUUGUUUGCGCUUGCUUCGGAAGACAGCAGCGAGCAUCGAUUUCGUCUAGCAGUAGCAGCCUUUGGCCUUUUGUUUUCGGAUCGACGGCAACAAUUCGAGCUAGACAUCAGUGCAGGUGGCCGUCAUGUGGUUGGGGCACAAGUCUGCUGUCUUUCCUCCUUAGUCUAUGCAUUGAUGUCUAUUGGACUUUUUUUUUUCUUUUCUUUAGUGAUGUUUGGUUGUCCUGCAUGCAUUACAAUAGAAUGGGUCUGCCUACAAUGCAGUCAUUUCAUUUCUAUCAGCCUUUUAAGUGACAUUUAUUUUACCCUAUUUUAAUUACAGCCCACUAAUGCUGUUUUUAUAGUAUUUUGGAAUAUCAUAUUUUUUUGUUUUUAA
This is a long non-coding RNA of Panicum virgatum (switchgrass), 3384 nucleotides long. RefSeq lists it as uncharacterized. The record is from RefSeq and is a predicted model, not a curated record. NCBI's taxonomy places the organism in Eukaryota, Viridiplantae, Streptophyta, Magnoliopsida, Poales, Poaceae. The transcript has 2 exons.